Molecule: long non-coding RNA, 2798 nt
Filed under: Gadus morhua (Atlantic cod)
Lineage: Eukaryota; Metazoa; Chordata; Actinopteri; Gadiformes; Gadidae
Description: lncRNA (ENSGMOG00000028483.1)
Source: RNAcentral
CUACCGCGUCUUUCCGACUCGGCCGCAUUUCCCUGGUGCGCGUGCGGUCCUUAAGUACCCUCCGCCGAGCGGCACAUAUCUCCCACUGACUACACAGUAAAAUUACAAGAGUAAAAUUUCCGUAGUUAAAAUUAUUUUACUCAAAUAGUAUUUUUUGCUCUGAUUUGAGGUGAAAGAUCAAAACAAGGGUUGAGAGACACGCAGAGUUAGAUCUGAAUAACGGAGUCAUAAUUUUGACUCCUCCCAGAGGGCAACGCAGUUAAGUUUCGUUUUGUCCGCCAUUACGCCGAUGGUCAUUCAACCGAUCUGGAGAAAAGUCUGCUAGGAAAAUAACAACGUAAGAUGGAGGCAACUGUUAGGGUGAAAUAUAAGGACAGAAAGAAGUACUUCUUCCUAACAUCACCUUUUCAAUUCGAAGUAUUUUUGGAAAGUGAUUCCUUCAGUUCUAGUACGAUUGGCGAUGGUGAGGCUUCAUCAGGAUCUGAUGAUACAGCAAUAGUGAUCAGAAAUCCCUCAGAAAAAAGAGAUGCAGAGGAUCGUCGUCUGGGUCGAAUGAUUGAGGACAUCCUCAAGAGUAGCCCUGGAGGUGAUAAGAUCACACAUGAGUAUGCUCACACAAAAACAUUGUCAGAUGUCAGAAGACGUGACCUAGUGAAGAUACUAGUUGCACAUCUGACAAAUGAGCAUGGCACAAGCCCCCCUAGGAGAUUGAAGGAGGAAUACGCCAAAGGAAUCAUCUGCCUUUUUCCUUACUUGGCUGACCCCCUGAGCAAGCUUGGCUAUGUAAGUUACUGCUGCUUUUCUGGUGAAAUGGUUUCAAAUCAGUCCCGUAUUUAUGGGACUGGGAAAAGUAUAUUUGUAUUUACAUGUUUUUCCCCUUAUUUUCAAAGGAACAUUUUAAAAUGCUGAAGAUGGAAGUGGGUAUUUGGCUUGGAGAAUCAAAACUCUGCAGAAAGAGGUGUCCGAGGGGCGAAUGAAACGGUCACGACAACUUCAAACAGGCCAGUGAUUAAUUUGGAACAUGACCACUAGUUUAUUUGGUCUAGGUUUUCUUUUGAGUAUUAAACUGGCAUGUUGUCCCAAACCUUUAGGUGGGCCAACUUCACACAGGGAUCCAUUGAAAGAAGACAUCCAGUGGGACGGACAGCAGUGUCAAGAAGCAAUUGCCCUGAUGAAGCAUUCCACGGAUGAAGUUGUAGUGAAGGAGAAAAUGAGGCUAACCAUGGCCCAUCGUCAGAAGUUGCUGCACGAUCCUGAGAACUCAGCCGACAUCCUAUCUGUUUUUCCUCGUUUCUUGGACAUUCCAGGUUUGGUGAGUAAAGAAAUACAAAGUAAUGUUUUGUGUAGUUUGUUAUUGUUUGUUUUGUCAGACAGAAUGUCAAUUUAUCUUUGUUUGCUUUUACAUGUUUUGAUUGCUAUCUGCCGAACCUGAUCAGACUUCAGAAAUGAUCUCUGUAGCUACUUUGACCAUCUACUGUGGGACUUACACUAAAUGUCUUUGCCAUGUCUUGUAGAUUGAUCAAGAUUUCAGGAGUCUUUUUGGUGACGCAACCUCUGCAAAGAUGUUGGAGAAGUGGACCACCAACUUUCAAGCAAAGGUUGUUACUCAGUGUCGUGGGCUUACACUGACUGGAGAUGUACAAGACCUCAUCCAAAAUGCUGAAGCCACUGAAGUAGAUGAUGGUAAUGUCUUCUCCUUCGACUAGUCUAGAUGGAAUGGCCACUCACAAAGUUACUGGAGUUAUAUGUACAUAUCAACCUGUUGCCUUGAGAAACGGAAGUGGCUGUCAUUCACAUGUGAAAUCACUGGGAAUACAGUAAUUGAACUGCACAAAGUUUUUUUUAUAGUUUCCUACUCAAAACUCAUGUCAUUGAUCCUUUUGCAGGCUUUAUUGGUUAUGGAUAAUCCGUCUGAUGCUCCGUCUGUAAAUCUGAAUCAAUAUGAAAUGCUUAACUGUUCUGUUUUUGUUAUAUAUUCCCCAGGCUGGGACAGUGACAUGUCAUCAAUGCUGUUGCUGGUUCACCUUCUGCCACCUUCAAGCCAAGGCCGAAAAAGACCAGGGAAAAUCUCAGCCAGACAAGCAUGCAACAGUCUUGUAAAAUUCAUCAAGGUGAGCUUUGUGUGGAACAAAAAGGGUUGGAAAAUACUUCCUCUUUUAUUAUGCUAAUAGUGCUGGGCCAUUGGGUAACGCUUGAAUAACUAACAAAAGGUGGCCACACACGUUGCGUAACACUGACCUUAUUUGCAUUUACGUGUUUUGGCGUUGUCUUCAGAGUGCUUUACAGCGUAUGUGCUAAUAAGUGUUAUGCAUACUGUGCCCUCUUCCUUUUUACUCUUAUUGUAACUUUGUAAGAAUCCAAAACAUAAUAAAUGACCAUGCCUCCUUAUUCAACCACAAAUUGGGACCAGCAUCCAAGGACACCUGGACAACAUCUCUGGGAGACUCCAGCCAUACCUACUUGCUGUUGGUGCCAAGAAGAGCAUGAUCGAGUCCUAAUACAUCGUGAUCGACAAACAUGCUCUACCCUGCAAGACCUCAACUUCAUUGGCUUGUGUUGAUGAACUUUUCAAAGCACAUUUCGUCUUUGGCACAAGAUACUGUCAGGAAUCACGCGAUUGCGUGCUCAUGCGCACGAACGUUAAUCUAUUGAAGCGUGUUCCAGAGUACGAUAGUCCGACUUUUUGCGUGCUACACAGAACGAAAUGUAAACCAAUGCUUUCUGAAUGGGAGUGUUGUCAGACAAUGAACGUGCUCCACAAAACGCUACGAGAGAGAGAGAAUGAGAGAGAGGGAGAG